RNAcentral lists this ribosomal RNA (497 nucleotides) under uncultured bacterium. RNAcentral's name for it is "partial 16S ribosomal RNA". It matches the Rfam family "Bacterial small subunit ribosomal RNA", at positions 28 to 507 of the family's 1533-position model. The record is from RNAcentral.
GAUGAACGCUGGCGGCGUGCCUAAUACAUGCAAGUCGAGCGAACAGAUAAGGAGCUUGCUCCUUUGACGUUAGCGGCGGACGGGUGAGUAACACGUGGGUAACCUACCUAUAAGACUGGAAUAACUCCGGGAAACCGGGGCUAAUGCCGGAUAACAUUUAGAACCGCAUGGUUCUAAAGUGAAAGAUGGUUUUACUAUCACUUAUAGAUGGACCCGCGCCGUAUUAGCUAGUUGGUAAGGUAACGGCUUACCAAGGCAACGAUACGUAGCCGACCUGAGAGGGUGAUCGGCCACACUGGAACUGAGACACGGUCCAGACUCCUACGGGAGGCAGCAGUAGGGAAUCUUCCGCAAUGGGCGAAAGCCUGACGGAGCAACGCCGCGUGAGUGAUGAAGGUCGUCGGAUCGUAAAACUCUGUUAUUAGGGAAGAACAAAUGUGUAAGUAACUGUGCACGUCUUGACGGUACCUAAUCAGAAAGCCACGGCUAACUACGUG